GCGGCGUGCCUAAUACAUGCAAGUCGAACGCUUCUUUCCUCCCGAGUGCUUGCACUCAAUUGGAAAGAGGAGUGGCGGACGGGUGAGUAACACGUGGGUAACCUACCCAUCAGAGGGGGAUAACACUUGGAAACAGGUGCUAAUACCGCAUAACAGUUUAUGCCGCAUGGCAUAAGAGUGAAAGGCGCUUUCGGGUGUCGCUGAUGGAUGGACCCGCGGUGCAUUAGCUAGUUGGUGAGGUAACGGCUCACCAAGGCCACGAUGCAUAGCCGACCUGAGAGGGUGAUCGGCCACACUGGGACUGAGACACGGCCCAGACUCCUACGGGAGGCAGCAGUAGGGAAUCUUCGGCAAUGGACGAAAGUCUGACCGAGCAACGCCGCGUGAGUGAAGAAGGUUUUCGGAUCGUAAAACUCUGUUGUUAGAGAAGAACAAGGACGUUAGUAACUGAACGUCCCCUGACGGUAUCUAACCAGAAAGCCACGGCUAACUACGUGCCAGCAGCCGCGGUAAUACGUAGGUGGCAAGCGUUGUCCGGAUUUAUUGGGCGUAAAGCGAGCGCAGGCGGUUUCUUAAGUCUGAUGUGAAAGCCCCCGGCUCAACCGGGGAGGGUCAUUGGAAACUGGGAGACUUGAGUGCAGAAGAGGAGAGUGGAAUUCCAUGUGUAGCGGUGAAAUGCGUAGAUAUAUGGAGGAACACCAGUGGCGAAGGCGGCUCUCUGGUCUGUAACUGACGCUGAGGCUCGAAAGCGUGGGGAGCAAACAGGAUUAGAUACCCCUGGUAGUCCACGCCGUAAACGAUGAGUGCUAAGUGUUGGAGGGUUUCCGCCCUUCAGUGCUGCAGCAAACGCAUUAAGCACUCCGCCUGGGGAGUACGACCGCAAGGUUGAAACUCAAAGGAAUUGACGGGGAGCCCGCACAAGCGGUGGAGCAUGUGGUUUAAUUCGAAGCAACGCGAAGAACCUUACCAGGUCUUGACAUCCUUUGACCACUCUAGAGAUAGAGCUUUCCCUUCGGGGACAAAGUGACAGGUGGUGCAUGGUUGUCGUCAGCUCGUGUCGUGAGAUGUUGGGUUAAGUCCCGCAACGAGCGCAACCCUUAUUGUUAGUUGCCAUCAUUUAGUUGGGCACUCUAGCGAGACUGCCGGUGACAAACCGGAGGAAGGUGGGGAUGACGUCAAAUCAUCAUGCCCCUUAUGACCUGGGCUACACACGUGCUACAAUGGGAAGUACAACGAGUCGCUAGACCGCGAGGUCAUGCAAAUCUCUUAAAGCUUCUCUCAGUUCGGAUUGCAGGCUGCAACUCGCCUGCAUGAAGCCGGAAUCGCUAGUAAUCGCGGAUCAGCACGCCGCGGUGAAUACGUUCCCGGGCCUUGUACACACCGCCCGUCACACCACGAGAGUUUGUAACACCCGAAGUCGGUGAGGUAACCUUUUAGGAGCCAGCCGCCUAAGGUGGGAUAGAUGAU
This 1467-nucleotide ribosomal RNA is filed under the name uncultured organism. RNAcentral describes it as "16S ribosomal RNA". It matches the Rfam family "Bacterial small subunit ribosomal RNA". The record is from RNAcentral.